This is a long non-coding RNA of Paramisgurnus dabryanus, 1286 nucleotides long. RefSeq lists it as uncharacterized. The record is from RefSeq and is a predicted model, not a curated record. NCBI's taxonomy places the organism in Eukaryota, Metazoa, Chordata, Actinopteri, Cypriniformes, Cobitidae.
UCUUAACUCAGUAUUAGUUUAUAUUUAAGUAAAAAUUCAUUUAGGUAUACGUUAAAUGUUUCCAAUGAUUAGUAUGGCAGUUAAUCCACUAAACCCAGACAUAAUUCCUGAGGCAUGUUUAUACAGAGUUUUGUAUUUCAUCAAGAAAGUGCUGAUUCACAAAGAUUUUAUAUUUAAGAAAAUCUGAGCAUCAUUCAAAAUAACUGUUAACAUGUUUUUCAACUAAACAUGCUUUGUCAACGUAAUAAACUUUAUAAAAACAUUUAUUUUUAUUUUUUUAUUAAUUAUCAAGUAUAAAGAACAAUGCAUAGUGUGAAAACGCGGAUUAUAAAUAAAGUAUAUUAAGUGCGAGCAGAGGAUCAAGCAGAAACAACGCCAAAGGACUACAUUUCCCAGGAUGCACCUCCACCCUUCAGGUGCGACCGCUUUACCUAUGGGCUUGACGGGAAGAUUCAAAAUCGCGAACCGUUACUGCAUGGAUUACUCUCGGUCUCUUUGUUUGCUCAUCGACAUUACGAGGUCAUGUACACUGUGGUCAACUUUGUGGACGAUGAAGAGGUUUCUGGGUAAAGAUUAUAGAAAUAUAACGAAGUAACAGUGGAAGCUAAAACAUCAGACUGAUCUAGACACUGAAGAAAUUGAUGUCACUGCAAUCUGGCCAAAAUGAUACAACAAUAUUGAACUAGCCUACUGUAAUGAAGCUGCAGAACAACACAGAGACUCUGAGGACAUCAACACAGAAAAUGAAAGAUGUCUGUCCAGAUGAGGGUGCAUCAACUUUACCUUUGCUGACAACAGUUAACUUAACUCAAACCAUUUAAGGAAAUCGGUUGCCUUAAACCAUUAAGUUUUAAAAAACAUACAUUUGAGUACUGUGAACUUAAGUCUUGUGCAAUUAUGCACUUAUAUUUAGGUAGUGUGAACUUAAAUAUAAGUGCAUAACUGCAUGUGACUCAAUUUUUUUAAGUUCACAGUACUCAAAUCUAUGUGUUUUAAAACUUGAAUGGUUUAAUGCAACCGGUUUUCUUAAAUGUGAGAAAUGACAGUGUUACAGUGAGAAAUGUUUGAUUAAUUCCAAGACAGAGCUCUGCUAUUGAAUCUACACUGCAAAAAAUCACUUUCUAACUUAGGAUUUUUAUCUUGUUUUCAGUAGAAAAACUAAAAAUUCUUAAAUCAAGAUGUAUUUUCUUGAUGAGCAAAAUUACCUUAGAAAAUAUGUGUAGUUUUUAGACAAAAAUAUACAAUUUAAGUAAAUUUGUGCCUAAACAAGCAAAAAUAUCUUAACA